Molecule: long non-coding RNA, 1097 nt
Filed under: Mustela putorius furo (domestic ferret)
Lineage: Eukaryota; Metazoa; Chordata; Mammalia; Carnivora; Mustelidae
Description: lncRNA (ENSMPUG00000026849.1)
Source: RNAcentral
AUGUUGCCCUCUUCCCCAGGGUUCUUGGAUUUUACAAGGGUAACAGAUUCUAACAGACCCUCAAAGAGCCACACAACCAACUCUGGAAAUUUGGAGUUUACAGCAGAUUUAAUCCACCAGAGGGCCUACAAGGGGGAAACCUUGUCGACAGGUCUCCAAAGCCAGAAAAUCCUGCAUUACGAGAGGAGUAAAUCCAAUCCAGUACCUCGGAGAAGGAAAACCAGAGAUGGCUGUAGCUACACCUGCCCUCAGGGACUGCCUGUGUCUACGACUUCCUCUCUGUCCGUUAUCUUGACGCUUUAAUCCUGCAAAUGCCAUGUUGCCCCACGAUGCCUUUAAAAAAUGAGUCGUGUGUGCCUUUCAGUUAUUCUACUACACAUAAUUUUUAUUCGAGUAAUUUGGGCACAUGGCUAAGAGUAGUCAUUCCUUGCCAUCCGUCCCGCCGUUACCCCAUUCUCAAGAGUCGGCCACUGAUAACAAAUAUCCGGUAAUGCUUUUGUAUCUUUAAAUAGGCUUUUUCUAUCAUUGUCUGUUUUAUCAAUUUUAGACUUCAUGUAAAUGUGCUUUCUUUGCAAUAAAAGUGAUCUGAGAUAUUCAUUCAGUGGUUCCACUCCCUCUUUUCCUGGUUACUUUCAGAGGCAUACCAUACCUUAAUUUUUUAUUUCUUCAACUGUAGGCAUUGUCCUUCAUCAGCCGUCUUGCAGGACGGAGGUAUUAGUGACUGUCCUUGCCUUUAGUUCUUCUCCACUCCUUCCUUUUCCCAACUAACUUCUAUACUUUCUCAUUUGCAUUGUCAAAAUUGGUAACAUUUAUGGUCUACUCUGUUACCAAAAUUUAAUCUUCCAUAGGUUGCCUAUAGGUUGAGUCUAAAAACUGAAAGGCAAUAAAAUGUUGUCAUUAUUGUGACUUUUUGAAAAGUAUGACUGAUACAAUAUUACACUAUGAUUACAUCUUUCCCAGUAUAGAUUUUUUCCCCCAGUGAAGUUUCGAAAGCUGCCUUUUCUAUUGAACUAUCUACCUUUAGAAUAGUCUUGGUGACUUCUCUACAUAAUACCAGCUGUGGUAUUCUGUGCAGCUUUUUCCUGGAGUCUGUCCUG